GGGUUGUGAGGUUAAGCGACUAAGCGUACACGGUGGAUGCCCUGGCAGUCAGAGGCGAUGAAGGACGUGCUAAUCUGCGAUAAGCGUCGGUAAGGUGAUAUGAACCGUUAUAACCGGCGAUUUCCGAAUGGGGAAACCCAGUGUGAUUCGUCACACUAUCAUUAACUGAAUCCAUAGGUUAAUGAGGCGAACCGGGGGAACUGAAACAUCUAAGUACCCCGAGGAAAAGAAAUCAACCGAGAUUCCCCCAGUAGCGGCGAGCGAACGGGGAGGAGCCCAGAGCCUGAAUCAGUGUGUGUGUUAGUGGAAGCGUCUGGAAAGGCGCGCGAUACAGGGUGACAGCCCCGUACACAAAAAUGCACAUGCUGUGAGCUCGAUGAGUAGGGCGGGACACGUGGUAUCCUGUCUGAAUAUGGGGGGACCAUCCUCCAAGGCUAAAUACUCCUGACUGACCGAUAGUGAACCAGUACCGUGAGGGAAAGGCGAAAAGAACCCCGGCGAGGGGAGUGAAAAAGAACCUGAAACCGUGUACGUACAAGCAGUGGGAGCACAGAGCAAUCUGUGUGACUGCGUACCUUUUGUAUAAUGGGUCAGCGACUUAUAUUCUGUAGCAAGGUUAACCGAAUAGGGGAGCCGAAGGGAAACCGAGUCUUAACUGGGCGUUAAGUUGCAGGGUAUAGACCCGAAACCCGGUGAUCUAGCCAUGGGCAGGUUGAAGGUUGGGUAACACUAACUGGAGGACCGAACCGACUAAUGUUGAAAAAUUAGCGGAUGACUUGUGGCUGGGGGUGAAAGGCCAAUCAAACCGGGAGAUAGCUGGUUCUCCCCGAAAGCUAUUUAGGUAGCGCCUCGUGAAUUCAUCUCCGGGGGUAGAGCACUGUUUCGGCAAGGGGGUCAUCCCGACUUACCAACCCGAUGCAAACUGCGAAUACCGGAGAAUGUUAUCACGGGAGACACACGGCGGGUGCUAACGUCCGUCGUGAAGAGGGAAACAACCCAGACCGCCAGCUAAGGUCCCAAAGUCAUGGUUAAGUGGGAAACGAUGUGGGAAGGCCCAGACAGCCAGGAUGUUGGCUUAGAAGCAGCCAUCAUUUAAAGAAAGCGUAAUAGCUCACUGGUCGAGUCGGCCUGCGCGGAAGAUGUAACGGGGCUAAACCAUGCACCGAAGCUGCGGCAGCGACACUAUGUGUUGUUGGGUAGGGGAGCGUUCUGUAAGCCUGUGAAGGUGUGCUGUGAGGCAUGCUGGAGGUAUCAGAAGUGCGAAUGCUGACAUAAGUAACGAUAAAGCGGGUGAAAAGCCCGCUCGCCGGAAGACCAAGGGUUCCUGUCCAACGUUAAUCGGGGCAGGGUGAGUCGACCCCUAAGGCGAGGCCGAAAGGCGUAGUCGAUGGGAAACAGGUUAAUAUUCCUGUACUUGGUGUUACUGCGAAGGGGGGACGGAGAAGGCUAUGUUGGCCGGGCGACGGUUGUCCCGGUUUAAGCGUGUAGGCUGGUUUUCCAGGCAAAUCCGGAAAAUCAAGGCUGAGGCGUGAUGACGAGGCACUACGGUGCUGAAGCAACAAAUGCCCUGCUUCCAGGAAAAGCCUCUAAGCAUCAGGUAACAUCAAAUCGUACCCCAAACCGACACAGGUGGUCAGGUAGAGAAUACCAAGGCGCUUGAGAGAACUCGGGUGAAGGAACUAGGCAAAAUGGUGCCGUAACUUCGGGAGAAGGCACGCUGAUAUGUAGGUGAAGCGACUUGCUCGUGGAGCUGAAAUCAGUCGAAGAUACCAGCUGGCUGCAACUGUUUAUUAAAAACACAGCACUGUGCAAACACGAAAGUGGACGUAUACGGUGUGACGCCUGCCCGGUGCCGGAAGGUUAAUUGAUGGGGUUAGCGCAAGCGAAGCUCUUGAUCGAAGCCCCGGUAAACGGCGGCCGUAACUAUAACGGUCCUAAGGUAGCGAAAUUCCUUGUCGGGUAAGUUCCGACCUGCACGAAUGGCGUAAUGAUGGCCAGGCUGUCUCCACCCGAGACUCAGUGAAAUUGAACUCGCUGUGAAGAUGCAGUGUACCCGCGGCAAGACGGAAAGACCCCGUGAACCUUUACUAUAGCUUGACACUGAACAUUGAGCCUUGAUGUGUAGGAUAGGUGGGAGGCUUUGAAGUGUGGACGCCAGUCUGCAUGGAGCCGACCUUGAAAUACCACCCUUUAAUGUUUGAUGUUCUAACGUUGACCCGUAAUCCGGGUUGCGGACAGUGUCUGGUGGGUAGUUUGACUGGGGCGGUCUCCUCCUAAAGAGUAACGGAGGAGCACGAAGGUUGGCUAAUCCUGGUCGGACAUCAGGAGGUUAGUGCAAUGGCAUAAGCCAGCUUGACUGCGAGCGUGACGGCGCGAGCAGGUGCGAAAGCAGGUCAUAGUGAUCCGGUGGUUCUGAAUGGAAGGGCCAUCGCUCAACGGAUAAAAGGUACUCCGGGGAUAACAGGCUGAUACCGCCCAAGAGUUCAUAUCGACGGCGGUGUUUGGCACCUCGAUGUCGGCUCAUCACAUCCUGGGGCUGAAGUAGGUCCCAAGGGUAUGGCUGUUCGCCAUUUAAAGUGGUACGCGAGCUGGGUUUAGAACGUCGUGAGACAGUUCGGUCCCUAUCUGCCGUGGGCGCUGGAGAACUGAGGGGGGCUGCUCCUAGUACGAGAGGACCGGAGUGGACGCAUCACUGGUGUUCGGGUUGUCAUGCCAAUGGCACUGCCCGGUAGCUAAAUGCGGAAGAGAUAAGUGCUGAAAGCAUCUAAGCACGAAACUUGCCCCGAGAUGAGUUCUCCCUGACUCCUUGAGAGUCCUGAAGGAACGUUGAAGACGACGACGUUGAUAGGCCGGGUGUGUAAGCGCAGCGAUGCGUUGAGCUAACCGGUACUAAUGAACCGUGAGGCUUAACCUUACAACGCCGAAGGUGUUU
Molecule: ribosomal RNA, 2932 nt
Filed under: Escherichia coli
Lineage: Bacteria; Pseudomonadati; Pseudomonadota; Gammaproteobacteria; Enterobacterales; Enterobacteriaceae
Description: bacterial LSU rRNA
Rfam family: Bacterial large subunit ribosomal RNA
Source: RNAcentral